GGGUGGUAAUGCCGGAUGUCCCAACCAGCUGCAUGGCUGGUUGGGAAGGAUUUUAUCGGCAUGGGAUGGGGUCGCGUCCUAUCAGCUUGUUGGUGGGGCAAUGGCCCACCAAGGCUUCGACGGGUAGCCGGCCUGAGAGGGCGACCGGCCACAUUGGGACUGAGAUACGGCCCAGACUCCUACGGGAGGCAGCAGUGGGGAAUAUUGCACAAUGGGCGCAAGCCUGAUGCAGCGACGCCGCGUGAGGGAUGACGGCCUUCGGGUUGUAAACCUCUUUUGUUAGGGAGCAAGCGAGAGUGAGUGUACCUUUCGAAUAAGCACCGGCUAACUACGUGCCAGCAGCCGCGGUAAUACGUAGGGUGCAAGCGUUAUCCGGAAUUAUUGGGCGUAAAGAGCUCGUAGGCGGCUUGUCGCGUCCGGUGUGAAAGUCCAUCGCUUAACGGUGGAUCUGCGCCGGGUACGGGCAGGCUAGAAUGCGGUAGGGGAGACUGGAAUUCCCGGUGUAACGGUGGAAUGUGUAGAUAUCGGGAAGAACACCAAUGGCGAAGGCAGGUCUCUGGGCCGUUAUUGACGCUGAGGAGCGAAAGCGUGGGGAGCGAACAGGAUUAGAUACCCUGGUAGUCCACGCCGUAAACGGUGGAUGCUGGAUG
RNAcentral lists this ribosomal RNA (650 nucleotides) under Bifidobacterium subtile. Its description in RNAcentral is "bacterial SSU rRNA". It matches the Rfam family "Bacterial small subunit ribosomal RNA", at positions 158 to 822 of the family's 1533-position model. Lineage: Bacteria; Bacillati; Actinomycetota; Actinomycetes; Bifidobacteriales; Bifidobacteriaceae. The record is from RNAcentral.